UACAUGCCUGUCGGCACCACGCCGCGUGACGGAUGAAGGCCUCUGGGUCUGUAAACCUCUUUUAUCAAGGAAGAACAUCUGACGGUACUUGAUGAAUAACCCUCGGCUAAUUCCGUGCCAACGCCCGCGGAAUACGGGAGUGGCAAGCGUUAUCCGGAAUUAUUGGGCGUAAAGCGUCCGCAGGCGGCCCUUCAAGUCUGCUGUUAAAAGGUGCAUCUUACCUCCGUCAUGGCCCUGGAAUCUGUUGGGCUUGAGUGUGGUAGGGGCAGAGGGAAUUCCCGGUGUAACGGUGAAAUGUUCCAAUAUCGGGAAGAACACCAGUGGCGAUGGCGCUCUGCUGGGCCAUCACUGACGCUCCUUUGGAAAGCCCUGGGAGCGAAAGGGAUUAGAUACCCCUGUAGUCCUGGCCGUAAACCAUGAACACUCCGUGUCGGGGGAAUCGACCCCCUCGGUGUCAGGGUUUCCGCCCUUCUGUUCCGCCUGGAGAGUACGCACGCUCCUGUGAAACUAGUAGGAAUUGACGGAUGAA
RNAcentral lists this ribosomal RNA (529 nucleotides) under uncultured marine bacterium. RNAcentral's name for it is "bacterial SSU rRNA". It matches the Rfam family "Bacterial small subunit ribosomal RNA", at positions 376 to 921 of the family's 1533-position model. The record is from RNAcentral.